CGUAGGGUGCGAGCGUUAAUCGGAAUUACUGGGCGUAAAGCGUGCGUAGGCGGUUCGUUAAGUUCGUUGUGAAAGCCCCGGGCUCAACCUGGGAACUGCAAUGGAAACUGGCGGGCUUGAGUAUGGCAGAGGGGGUGGAAUUCCGCGUGUAGCAGUGAAAUGCGUAGAGAUGCGGAGGAACACCGAUGGCGAAGGCAGCCCCCUGGGCCAAUACUGACGCUCAGGCACGAAAGCGUGGGGAGCAAACAGGAUUAGAUACCCUGGUAGUCCACGCCCUAAACGAUGCUCACUAGGUGUUGGGGAAGCGAUUCCUUGGUACCGUAGCUAACGCGUGAAGUGAGCCGCCUGGGGAGUACGGCCGCAAGGUUA
RNAcentral lists this ribosomal RNA (369 nucleotides) under uncultured organism. RNAcentral's name for it is "bacterial SSU rRNA". It matches the Rfam family "Bacterial small subunit ribosomal RNA", at positions 526 to 896 of the family's 1533-position model. The record is from RNAcentral.